This 585-nucleotide ribosomal RNA is filed under the name Hanseniaspora uvarum. RNAcentral describes it as "partial large subunit ribosomal RNA". It matches the Rfam family "Eukaryotic large subunit ribosomal RNA", at positions 68 to 668 of the family's 3401-position model. The record is from RNAcentral. Lineage: Eukaryota; Fungi; Ascomycota; Saccharomycetes; Saccharomycodales; Saccharomycodaceae.
CCCGGGCAUACUUAGUACGGCGAGUGAAGCGGUAAAAGCUCAAAUUUGAAAUCUGGUACUUUCAGUGCCCGAGUUGUAAUUUGUAGAAUUUGUCUUUGAUUAGGUCCUUGUCUAUGUUCCUUGGAACAGGACGUCAUAGAGGGUGAGAAUCCCGUUUGGCGAGGAUACCUUUUCUCUGUAAGACUUUUUCGAAGAGUCGAGUUGUUUGGGAAUGCAGCUCAAAGUGGGUGGUAAAUUCCAUCUAAAGCUAAAUAUUGGCGAGAGACCGAUAGCGAACAAGUACAGUGAUGGAAAGAUGAAAAGAACUUUGAAAAGAGAGUGAAAAAGUACGUGAAAUUGUUGAAAGGGAAGGGCAUUUGAUCAGACAUGGUGUUUUUUGCAUGCACUCGCCUCUCGUGGGCUUGGGCCUCUCAAAAAUUUCACUGGGCCAACAUCAAUUCUGGCAGCAGGAUAAAUCAUUAAGAAUGUAGCUACUUCGGUAGUGUUAUAGCUUUUUGGAAUACUGUUAGCCGGGAUUGAGGACUGCGCUUCGGCAAGGAUGUUGGCAUAAUGGUUAAAUGCCGCCCGUCUUGACCCCCCGAACCA